AUGAAAGUAAUAAGACAAGUAUAAGAAACACAGACGAUUUUUAAGGAGAUAAGGAAGAGAAGGUGUGUGAAGGGGAAAAAGGGUUUUGAUGAAAGGUUCGUUGUGGAUUAUAUAGAAACCAAAUCUGAAGCAUCCAAGAUUUGCAAAAACAUAAAAUGAAGGAGUGCGGUGGCGGAUUCUCGAAGCCCAUCAUCGGAGCCGUGUCAGAUUGUUGAGUUGUUGCUAGCUCUGGUUUUUAGGUUUAAGUGUGUUUCUGAUUUAGAUAGGUUUGAAGAAGUGGUUAAUUCUGUUGGAAUGUUAGCUCUGUUCCAACUUACGUGAGAUUUUGUCUAGCCUUAGAAGCGAGUGUAAAUACGUUCACAGUGAGCAAGAGCUCCAGAUGAAACCGAAUAAUACUUGAGAUCCGAUUUCUGAGCAAGGCAAGAAAGUGAAAGGAUAUGAAGAUGUCUGAGCAAGAAGAGGGAGUGAGAGAAGACGGUGAGGUUUUGUUCACUGAGCAUAUGAGGGAAUCAAUUGAUGAUGAAUGAUGUGGUGGUAGUGGUGUUAAUUUGUCGUUAAGUAAAUGUUUGGAUCAUUUACACAGAAAAAGGCUAUCAUAUGAUCUGAAUUACGUUUUAGGAGAGCCUGUUAAGUUUUGAUCUUUU
Molecule: small RNA, 644 nt
Filed under: Arabidopsis thaliana (thale cress)
Lineage: Eukaryota; Viridiplantae; Streptophyta; Magnoliopsida; Brassicales; Brassicaceae
Description: putative long intergenic non-coding RNA
Source: RNAcentral